GAUGAACGCUGGCGGCGUGCCUAAUACAUGCAAGUCGAGCGAACAGACGAGGAGCUUGCUCCUCUGACGUUAGCGGCGGACGGGUGAGUAACACGUGGAUAACCUACCUAUAAGACUGGGAUAACUUCGGGAAACCGGAGCUAAUACCGGAUAAUAUAUUGAACCGCAUGGUUCAAUAGUGAAAGACGGUCUUGCUGUCACUUAUAGAUGGAUCCGCGCCGCAUUAGCUAGUUGGUAAGGUAACGGCUUACCAAGGCGACGAUGCGUAGCCGACCUGAGAGGGUGAUCGGCCACACUGGAACUGAGACACGGUCCAGACUCCUACGGGAGGCAGCAGUAGGGAAUCUUCCGCAAUGGGCGAAAGCUUGACGGAGCAACGCCGCGUGAGUGAUGAAGGUCUUCGGAUCGUAAAACUCUGUUAUUAGGGAAGAACAAAUGUGUAAGUAACUAUGCACGUCUUGACGGUACCUAAUCAGAAAGCCACGGCUAACUACGUG
This 497-nucleotide ribosomal RNA is filed under the name uncultured bacterium. RNAcentral describes it as "partial 16S ribosomal RNA". It matches the Rfam family "Bacterial small subunit ribosomal RNA", at positions 28 to 507 of the family's 1533-position model. The record is from RNAcentral.